CGAUCCAUGUAACUUUUGUCCCAAUUCCUAUAAAAUAACAUAAAACAUGCAUGAAUAGACACAAACACAUAAAAACAUCCUAAAAGACUUAAGAACAACAAUAAAUUAAGCCCUAAUGUAUCCAAUUCAUGGGUAUAAAACUCACUCAUCAAAUACCCCCAAACUUAAAUCUUUGUUUGUCCUCAAGCAAAAACACAAAAAUAUUAUGCAAUGCAAUGUAAUGAAACUAAUUUAUAUGCCUACGAAUCCAACAGUAAUUAUAGAAACAAGUCUAUUCAACCGGCCUUAGAGAAAUCAAGUAAACAUGAUAAUACAUCAUAUUAAAACAAAUCAGUAAUUUCCCAAUCAAUCAUCAAAUCUUAGACUAUUAUCACUGAUAUAGUGCGUGUGUGCUCCACAACAAUGUUAACCUUGAUUAUACCAGUUUUAAACAGGAAAAGAUUCAAUUCAUAACAAGAAAUCACAUCAAAGCCUGAAUAUUCAAUACUAUACUUAUCUACUUAACUUCAGUCUCACCAUUGGCCAA
RNAcentral lists this long non-coding RNA (526 nucleotides) under Panax ginseng (ginseng). RNAcentral describes it as "long non-coding RNA (PGIN_LNC012452)". Lineage: Eukaryota; Viridiplantae; Streptophyta; Magnoliopsida; Apiales; Araliaceae. The record is from RNAcentral.